This 368-nucleotide ribosomal RNA is filed under the name uncultured Acholeplasma sp. RNAcentral describes it as "bacterial SSU rRNA". It matches the Rfam family "Bacterial small subunit ribosomal RNA", at positions 1010 to 1381 of the family's 1533-position model. The record is from RNAcentral. Lineage: Bacteria; Bacillati; Mycoplasmatota; Mollicutes; Acholeplasmatales; Acholeplasmataceae.
UAAAGCGGAGGUAUCCGGGGAGACAGGUGGUGCAUGGUUGUCGUCAGCUCGUGUCGUGAGGAUGUUGGGGUUAAGUCCCGGCAACGAGCGCAACCCUUAUUGCUAGUUACCAUCAUUGAUUGGGGACUCUAGCGAGACUGCCAGCGAUAAGCUGGAGGAAGUGGGGAUGACGUCAAAUCAUCAUGCCCCUUAUGACCUGGGCUACAAACGUGAUACAAUGGCUGGAACAAAGGGAGGCGAAGGGGUGACCUGGAGCGAAACUCAAAAAACAGUCUCAGUUCGGAUUGAAGUCUGCAACUCGACUUCAUGAAGUCGGAAUCGCUAGUAAUCGCGGAUCAGAACGCCGCGGUGAAUACGUUCUCGGGUUU